CCGAGCCCCAGUCCUGGCUCUCGGGUCAGGCGGGGCGCUUUUAUUGGCUGAAAACCGAUGAUCGCCCUCGUGGCGGUCGUUAUUCGAUGAAUCACAAUAACAUUGUGUGGAUCGUAUGGUCUUGUACCGACGACGCGCCUUUCAAAUAUCUGCCUUAUCAGCUCUCGACGGUUUGCUAGUGGCUGACCGUGGCUCUGACGGGUAACGGGGAAUCUGGGUUCGGUUCCGGAGAGGGAGCCUGAGAGAUGGCUACCACAUCUAAGGAAGGCAGCAGGCGCGUAACUUACCCACUCCCAGUUCAGGGAGGUAGUGACAAUAAAUACCUUACAGAGGUCUCGUUAACCGAGAUCUCUCAAACGGAAUGAGUACAACGUGAAUCCUUUAACGAGGAUCGACUGGAGGGCAAGCCUGGUGCCAGCAGCCGCGGUAAUUCCAGCUCCAGUAGCGUAUAUUAAAGCUGUUGCGGUUAAAAAGCUCGUAGUUGGAUAUCAGUGCGUGUCCGGUCCGGUAUGCCUGGCGCUGUCGCUCACGCGGCAAUGCUGGGCUCCCAAAUAUCGGCUGGCCGCAUUCAAUCGUGCCGGAUCCGUCGACGGGCCGUUCUUCGGAGGGGCCUGUUGGCGACCGGCGACGUUACCUUGAACAAAUUAGAGUGCUCAAAGCAGGCUCUGAAUGCCUGUAUACAUAUUCAUGGAAUUGGAGAAUACGUCCCUGGCUCGAUUUGGUUGGUUUUGAGAGUCGAAGGGAAAUGAUUAAUAGGGACUGACGGAGGCAUUCGUAUUGCGACGCGAGGGGUGAAAUCCUGUGACCGUCGCACGACGAACUACUGCGAAAGCAUUUGCCGAGAAUGUUUUCAUUAGUCAAGAACGAAAGUUAGAGGUUCGAAGGCGAUCAGAUACCGCCCUAGUUCUAACCGUAAACGAUGUCGACCAGCAAUCCGCAACGGUCACUACACGGACUGUGCGGGCAGCUUCCCCGGGGAAACCAGAGUUUUUGGACUCCGGGGGAAGUAUGGUUGCAAAGCUGAAACUUAAAGGAAUUGACGGAAGGGCACCACCAGGAGUGGAGCUUGCGGCUUAAUUUGACUCAACACGGGACAACUCACCAGGCCCGGACACCGUAAGGAUUGACAGACUGAUAGCUCUCUCUUGAUUCAGUGGGUGGUGGUGCAUGGCCGUUCUUAGUUGGUGGAGUGAUUUGUCUGGUUUAUUCCGAUAACGAACGAGACUCUGGCCUAUUAAACUUGACGCUGUCAGUCUCAUGUGACUGCGGCGCGCUUCUUAGAGGGAUCAUCGGCGUCCCAGCCGAAGGAAAGGGAGCAAUAACAGGUCUGUGAUGCCCUUAGAUGUUCUGGGCUGCACGCGUGUUACACUGAAGUGGUCAGCGCGCCGUUCAACGUCCCUCUCCGUGAGGAGCGGGCAAACGUUUGAACCCUUUUCGUGAUGGGAAUUGGGGGUUGCAAUUGUCCCCCAUGAACGAGGAAUUCCAAGUAAGCGCAAGUCAUUAGCUUGCGUU
RNAcentral lists this ribosomal RNA (1512 nucleotides) under Mesolasma sp. 1 BKKC-2017. Its description in RNAcentral is "SSU rRNA". It matches the Rfam family "Eukaryotic small subunit ribosomal RNA", at positions 170 to 1642 of the family's 1831-position model. Lineage: Eukaryota; Metazoa; Arthropoda; Thecostraca; Balanomorpha; Bathylasmatidae. The record is from RNAcentral.